RNAcentral lists this ribosomal RNA (433 nucleotides) under uncultured bacterium. RNAcentral's name for it is "partial 16S ribosomal RNA". It matches the Rfam family "Bacterial small subunit ribosomal RNA", at positions 29 to 507 of the family's 1533-position model. The record is from RNAcentral.
AACGAACGCUGGCGGCAUGCCUAACACAUGCAAGUCGAACGAAACCUUCGGGUCUAGUGGCGCACGGGUGCGUAACGCGUGGGAACCUGCCCUUAGGUUCGGAAUAACUCCCCGAAAGGGGUGCUAAUACCGGAUAAUGUCUUCGGACCAAAGAUUUAUCGCCUUUGGAUGGGCCCGCGUUGGAUUAGCUCGUUGGUAGGGUAAAAGCCUACCAAGGCGACGAUCCAUAGCUUGUCUGAGAGGAUGAUCAGCCACACUGGGACUGAGACACGGCCCAGACUCCUACGGGAGGCAGCAGUGGGGAAUAUUGGAAAAUGGGCGAAAGCCUGAUCCAGCAAUGCCGCGUGAGUGAUGAAGGCCUUAGGGUUGUAAAGCUCUUUUAACCGGGAUGAUAAUGACAGUACCGGGAGAAUAAGCUCCGGCUAACUACGUG